Molecule: small RNA, 90 nt
Filed under: Salix viminalis (osier)
Lineage: Eukaryota; Viridiplantae; Streptophyta; Magnoliopsida; Malpighiales; Salicaceae
Source: RNAcentral
GGGUGCGAUUAUAUACUGGGAAGUUAAACUUGAUUCAACGAGAGCAGUACUAGGAUGGGUGAUUCCGGAAAAAUUCUCGUAUUUCACCUC